RNAcentral lists this ribosomal RNA (446 nucleotides) under uncultured bacterium. RNAcentral describes it as "partial 16S ribosomal RNA". It matches the Rfam family "Bacterial small subunit ribosomal RNA", at positions 338 to 795 of the family's 1533-position model. The record is from RNAcentral.
CCUACGGGUGGCAGCAGUCGAGAAUCAUUCACAAUGGGGGAAACCCUGAUGGUGCGACGCCGCGUGGGGGAAUGAAGGUCUUCGGAUUGUAAACCCCUGUCAUGUGGGAGCAAAUUAAAAAGAUAGUACCACAAGAGGAAGAGACGGCUAACUCUGUGCCAACAGCCGCGGUAAUACAGAGGUCUCAAGCGUUGUUCGGAAUCACUGGGCGUAAGGCGUGCGUAGGCUGUUUCGUAAGUCGUGUGUGAAAGGCGCGGGCUCAACCCGCGGACGGCACAUGAUACUGCGAGACUAGAGUAAUGGAGGGGGAACCGGAAUUCUCGGUGUAGCAGUGAAAUGCGUAGAGAUCGAGAGGAACACUCGUGGCGAAGGCGGGUUCCUGGACAUUAACUGACGCUGAGGCACGAAGGCCAGGGGAGCGAAAGGGAUUAGAUACCCGAGUAGUC